UCUACGGGAGGCAGCAGUGGGGAAUAUUGGACAAUGGGCGAAAGCCUGAUCCAGCCAUGCCGCGUGUGUGAAGAAGGUCUUCGGAUUGUAAAGCACUUUAAGUUGGGAGGAAGGGCAUUAACCUAAUACGUUAGUGUUUUGACGUUACCGACAGAAUAAGCACCGGCUAACUCUGUGCCAGCAGCCGCGGUAAUA
RNAcentral lists this ribosomal RNA (195 nucleotides) under uncultured Pseudomonas sp. RNAcentral's name for it is "partial 16S ribosomal RNA". It matches the Rfam family "Bacterial small subunit ribosomal RNA", at positions 338 to 525 of the family's 1533-position model. The record is from RNAcentral. Lineage: Bacteria; Pseudomonadati; Pseudomonadota; Gammaproteobacteria; Pseudomonadales; Pseudomonadaceae.